GUAAGGAAUAUUGGACAAUGGACGCAAGUCUGAUCCAGCCAUGCCGCGUGAAGGAUUAAGGUCCUCUGGAUUGUAAACUUCUUUUAUAAGGGACGAAAAAAGGCUUUUCUAAGUCGUCUGACGGUACCUUAUGAAUAAGCACCGGCUAACUCCGUGCCAGCAGCUGCGGUAAUACGGAGGGUGCAAGCGUUAUCCGGAUUCACUGGGUUUAAAGGGUGCGUAGGCGGGCAGGUAAGUCAGUGGUGAAAUCCUAGAGCUUAACUCUAGAACUGCCAUGGAUACUAUCUGUCUUGAAUAUUGUGGAAGUAAGCGGAAUAUGGCAUGUAGCGGUGAAAUGCUUAGAUAUGACAUAGAACACCUAAUGCGAAGGCAGCUUACUACGCAUAUAUUGACGCUGAGGCACGAAAGCGUGGGGAUCAAACAGGAUUAGAUACCCCGGUAGUCC
RNAcentral lists this ribosomal RNA (445 nucleotides) under uncultured bacterium. Its description in RNAcentral is "bacterial SSU rRNA". It matches the Rfam family "Bacterial small subunit ribosomal RNA", at positions 354 to 796 of the family's 1533-position model. The record is from RNAcentral.